This 1063-nucleotide ribosomal RNA is filed under the name Amanita sp. 'longicuneus'. Its description in RNAcentral is "partial large subunit ribosomal RNA". The record is from RNAcentral. Lineage: Eukaryota; Fungi; Basidiomycota; Agaricomycetes; Agaricales; Amanitaceae.
GGAUUCCCCUAGUAACUGCGAGUGAAGCGGGAAAAGCUCAAAUUUGAAAUCUGGCAGUCUUUUUUUUCUUCUUUGGCUGUCCGAGUUGUAAUCUAGAGAAGUGCUUACCUGCACUGGACCAUGUAUAAGUCUCCUGGAAUGGAGCGUCACAGAGGGUGAGAAUCCCGUCUUUGACAUGGACUGCCAGUGUGUUGUGGUGUGCUCUCAAAGAGUCGAGUUGUUUGGGAAUGCAGCUCUAAAUGGGUGGUAAACUCCAUCUAAAGCUAAAUAUUGGCGAGAGACCGAUAGUGAACAAGUACCGUGAGGGAAAGAUGAAAAGGACUUUGGAAAGAGAGUUAAACAGUAUGUGAAAUUGUUGAAAGGGAAACGCUUGAAGUCAGUUAUGUUGGCUAGGGAUCAACCUAGCUAUUUUUUGCUGGGUGAAUUUCCUANUCUGACAGGCCAACAUCAGUCUUGACUGCUGGAAAAGAGCAAAGGGAAUGUGGCACCUUUGGGUGUGUUAUAGCCCUUUGUCAUAUGUAGCAGUUGUGACUGAGGGAUGCAGCGUGCCAUGAGGCUGGGUUUCGACCACUAUCACGCUUAGGAUGUUGGCUUUUAAUGGCUUCAAUCGACCCGUCUUGAAACACGGACCAAGGAGUCUAACAUGCCUGCGAGUGUUUGGGUGGAAAACCCUUGUGCACAUGAAAGUGAAAGUUGAGAUCCCUUUCGGGGGGAGCAUSGACSCCCGGCCYUGAGCUUUUAGCAAUGGAUCCGCGGUAGAGCAUGCAUGUUGGGACCCGAAAGAUGGUGAACUAUGCCUGAAUAGGGCAAAGCCAGAGGAAACUCUGGUGGAGGCUCGUAGCGAUUCUGACGUGCAAAUCGAUCGUCAAAUUUGGGUAUAGGGGCGAAAGACUAAUCGAACCAUCUAGUAGCUGGUUCCUGCCGAAGUUUCCCUCAGGAUAGCAGAAGCUCAUUAUCAGAUUUAUGUGGUAAAGCGAAUGAUUAGAGGCCUUGGGGUUGAAACAACCUUAACCUAUUCUCAAACUUUAAAUAUGUAAGAACGAGCUGUCACUYGAUYUGGACU